RNAcentral lists this ribosomal RNA (2604 nucleotides) under metagenome. Its description in RNAcentral is "bacterial LSU rRNA". It matches the Rfam family "Bacterial large subunit ribosomal RNA". The record is from RNAcentral.
GAAAGUAAGCAAGGGCAGACGGUGGAUGCCUUGGCUCUCGGAGGCGACGAAGGACGUGAUAAGCUGCGAAAAGCCCGGGGGAGGCGCAAAUAGCCCUUGAUCCCGGGAUAUCCGAAUGGGGCAACCCGGCAGGCUGAAGGCCUGUCAUCCCGUAAGGGAGGCGAACGUGGGGAACUGAAACAUCUAAGUACCCAUAGGAGGAGAAAAUAAACAAUGAUUCCGUAAGUAGUGGCGAGCGAACACGGAAGAGCCCAAACCCAUGUCGUCUAGGCGACACGGGGGUUGUAGGACCACGACGUGGCAAGAUAGAGUCAAGUGGAACGCCUUGGAAAAGGCGGUCAUAGAGGGUGAAAACCCCGUACACGACUGACGAUUGAAGCCUAGUGGCAUCCUGAGUAGCGCGGGGCACGAGAAAUCUUGCGUGAAUUAGCGGGGCCCAUCCCGUAAGGCUAAAUACUCCCGAGAGACCGAUAGCGAACCAGUACCGUGAGGGAAAGGUGAAAAGAACCCCGAGCAGGGGAGUGAAAUAGACCCUGAACCCGUCUGCCUACAAGCGGUCGGAGCGUCGUAAUGACGUGACGGCGUGCCUUUUGCAUAAUGAACCUACGAGUUACCUUCCCCGGCAAGGUUAAGUACCUAAGGUACGGAGCCGAAGCGAAAGCGAGUCUGAAGAGGGCGGCCAGUCGGGGGGGGUAGACGCGAAACCGAGUGAUCUACCCUUGGCCAGGUUGAAGGUUGGGUAACACCAACUGGAGGACCGGAUGGGUAAGCGUUGAAAAGCUUUCCAAUGAGCUGAGGGUAGGGGUGAAAGGCUAAUCAAACUCGGAGAUAGCUCGUACUCCCCGAAAUGCAUUUAGGUGCAGCCUCUUUAUAGUAUAUCGUGAGGUAGAGCGACUGAUUGGAUGCGAGGGCUUCACCGCCUAUCAAGUCCAGAUAAACUCCGAAUGCGCGAUAUAUAUUUACAGGGAGUGAGGGCGCGGGUGCUAAGGUCCGUGUCCGAGAGGAGAAGAAUCCAGACCACCGGCUAAGGCCCCCAAAUGAUCGUUAAGUUGAACUAACGAGGUCGGAUCGCAGAGACAGCUAGGAUGUUGGCUUGGAAGCAGCCAUUCAUUUAAAGAGUGCGUAACAGCUCACUAGUCGAGCGAUCUGGCGUGGAUAAUAAUCGGGCAUAAACGAUCUGCCGAAGCCGCGGAUGUCGCAAGACAUGGUAGGGGAGCAUUCCAUGGGCGUCGAAGAUGAGGGAUGACCCUUGUUGGAGCGCAUGGAAAAGCAAAUGUAGGUAUGAGUAACGAUAAGGGGGGCGAGAAACCCCCCCGCCGAAAGACCAAGGUUUCCUGAUCAACGCUAAUCGGAUCAGGGUGAGUCGGGACCUAAGGCUAAGCCGAACGGCGACGCCGAUGGAAGAAUGGGUUAAUAUUCCCAUACUGCCUCAUGGAGUGACGUGGAGACGGAGAAGUGACAGUCCUGCCGGCUGACGGAAUAGCCGGUUGAAGGGUGUAGAUAUUGAUUCCCGUAGGCAAAUCCGCGGGGAGAGUCGAACCUGACAGUAUACCGAGUACUUGUACGAGGUAAUAUGGACGUAACCAUGCUCCCAAGAAAAUCCGCUAAACUUAUCCAUGCGGCACCCGUACCGUAAACGGACACACGUGGUCGGGUUGAGAAUACUGAGGCGCUCGAGUGACUCACGGUUAAGGAACUAGGCAAAUUGACCCUGUAACUUCGGGAUAAAGGGUCCUCGUCGUAAGGCGAGGCGCAGAGAAUAGGUCCAGGCAACUGUUUAACAAAAACACAUGGCUGUGCUAAAUGGAAACAUGACGUAUACAGCCUGACACCUGCCCGGUGCUGGAAGGUUAAGAGGAGAUGUCAUCGCAAGAGAAGCGUUGAAUUGAAGCCCCAGUAAACGGCGGCCGUAACUAUAACGGUCCUAAGGUAGCGAAAUUCCUUGUCGGGUAAGUUCCGACCUGCACGAAUGGUGUAAUGAUCUGGACACUGUCUCAACCGUGAGCUCGGUGAAAUUGUAGUAUCGGUGAAGAUGCCGAUUACCCGCGAUGGGACGAAAAGACCCCGUGAACCUUUACUAUAGCUUUACAUUGAGUUUGGGCAGACGAUGUGUAGGAUAGGCCGGAGGCUUUGAAGCAGGUACGCCAGUAUUUGUGGAGCCGACGUUGAAAUACGGCCCUUCGGUUGUUUGAGUUCUAACUCCCGGACGGGAGGACACUGUAUGGUGGGUAGUUUGACUGGGGUGGUCGCCUCCAAAAGCGUAACGGAGGCUUCUAAAGGUGCCCUCAGACCGAUUGGUAACCGGUCGCAGAGUGUAAUGGCAUAAGGGCGCUUGACUGGGAGACAUACAAGUCGAUCAGGUAGGAAACUAGAGCAUAGUGAUCCGGUGGUUCCGCAUGGAAGGGCCAUCGCUCAAAGGAUAAAAGGUACUCCGGGGAUAACAGGCUGAUCAUUCCCAAGAGCUCAUAUCGACGGAAUGGUUUGGCACCUCGAUGUCGGCUCGUCACAUCCUGGGGCUGGAGAAGGUCCCAAGGGUUGGGCUGUUCGCCCAUUAAAGUGGCACGCGAGCUGGGUUCAGAACGUCGUGAGACAGUUCGGUCUCUA